This 480-nucleotide ribosomal RNA is filed under the name uncultured bacterium. RNAcentral describes it as "bacterial SSU rRNA". It matches the Rfam family "Bacterial small subunit ribosomal RNA", at positions 28 to 526 of the family's 1533-position model. The record is from RNAcentral.
GAUGAACGCUGGCGGCGUGCCUAACACAUGCAAGUCGAACGUUAGGGUCUAGCAAUAGACCCAAAAGUGGCGAACGGGUGAGUAACACGUAGGUAACCUGCCGCGCAGAGGGGGAUAACGACUGGAAACGGUCGCUAACACCGCAUGGUACUAGGUGGAUGGGAAUCCUUCUAGUUAAAACUUUGGUGCUGCGCGAGGGGCCUGCGUCCGAUUAGCUAGUUGGUGAGGUAACGGCUCACCAAGGCUGUGAUCGGUAGCUGGUCUGAGAGGAUGAUCAGUCACACGGGAACUGAGACACGGUCCCGACUCCUACGGGGGGCAGCAGUGAGGAAUAUUGCACAAUGGACGCAAGUCUGAUGCAGCAACGCCGCGUGGAGGAUGAAGGCCCUUGGGUUGUAAACUCCUUUUUUCAGGGAAGAGAAUGGACGGUACCUGAAGAAUAAGUCACGGCUAACUACGUGCCAGCCGCCGCCGUAAUAC